RNAcentral lists this ribosomal RNA (509 nucleotides) under uncultured bacterium. Its description in RNAcentral is "bacterial SSU rRNA". It matches the Rfam family "Bacterial small subunit ribosomal RNA", at positions 32 to 514 of the family's 1533-position model. The record is from RNAcentral.
AAUCAACGCUGGCGGCGUGCCUAACACAUGCAAGUCGAACGCGAAAGUGGAGCAAUCCAUGGGUAGAGUGGCAAACGGGUGAGUAACACGUGGGUGACCUGCCUUCGAGUGGGGGGAUAACGUUUCGAAAGGAACGCUAAUACCGCAUAACAUGCUGUCUUUUAACAGAUGGACAUCAAAGCCGGGGACCGCAAGGCCUGGCGCUUGAAGAGGGGCCCGCGCCUGAUUAGCUAGUUGGUGGGGUAAUGGCUCACCAAGGCAACGAUCAGUAUCCGGCCUGAGAGGGCGGACGGACGACACUGGGACUGAGACACGGCCCAGACUCCUACGGGAGGCAGCAGUGGGGAAUUGUUCGCAAUGGGCGCAAGCCUGACGACGCAACGCCGCGUGGAGGAUGAAGAUCUUCGGGUCGUAAACUCCUUUCGAUCGAGGCGAAUGGCCCUUGGGCUAAUACCCUGAGGGAGUGACGGUACCGAGAGAAGAAGCCCCGGCUAACUCCGUGCCAGCAG